CGGACGGACGUAGAACGGUGUGAGAAGACAACGAUCGUGAAUCGUGAUGUUGCUUGCAUUUAAAGUUCGGGUGCGUGAUUUUGCAGCGAACGGGUGGGAAACGAGGUUCGCGCGCGGCCUUUUGUCUUCCCGCCGUCGAUAUUCUCUGUUAUCGUUCAACGGCGCGGCGUUGCUCGCUUAUUUGUGUACCCGACUUCGAAAGAACGUGACAUGACAUCGAAUGGAAUGAGCAAUCAGUGAGCCAUCCCACUCGAGUGCAAAGGGUUAAGUUGAAUCAAGAAUCAAGGACACCGAAAAUGUUCCAAACGAUUUACGUUGUUUUUUUUCUGAGAUGCCAGAGGGGCCAGCUUACGUCCAAUGGCAGCACCUUUGUUUCUGUGGGAACAUUCGAACCAGGCGGUCCAUAUGCGCUUAAAACGUGGAUGAGAAGCAUGGUUUCCAGUGCCUAUGAAAGGGUUAAAGUUCAAAGCCACCACCUUCAAAAUUCAUGGAUCGGUUCUUCCUACCGCGCUUUCGCGGUUCGCAGCAAAUGGGAAACCGGAGACACCUGGCUUCACCCGAAAGUGCUGCGAAUUGAAAAGUCUCCGAAACCGUCGGAAAGAUUUCGUUCGCGAGAACGAACGAACCGUCGAUUCGAGGAUCGAAGGCGCCAUCUUUGCAACGAUCUCUCGAAGCUCGUCGUACGACCUCUUUUGGUCGUUUUGUGAAACCGGAAACGACGAACAAUUUCGGUCGGGCAGAGCCCUCGUACAAUCCGAUUUAGAACGAUUAAAAAAAAAUCGUACAUCGAAGUUUAAGGGAUCGUUGCAAAGAGGAGGCUUCGAUCUCGAAAUCCAUGUUAACGCUAGAUUUACGGAUUCCGUCAAAAUGACGGAUCGUAACGAUACAUUUAUGAGUUAUUU
Long non-coding RNA from Megalopta genalis, 902 nucleotides. RefSeq lists it as uncharacterized. The record is from RefSeq and is a predicted model, not a curated record. NCBI's taxonomy places the organism in Eukaryota, Metazoa, Arthropoda, Insecta, Hymenoptera, Halictidae.